Long non-coding RNA from Vespula vulgaris, 1144 nucleotides. RefSeq lists it as uncharacterized. Lineage: Eukaryota; Metazoa; Arthropoda; Insecta; Hymenoptera; Vespidae. The record is from RefSeq and is a predicted model, not a curated record. The transcript has 3 exons.
UUUUCUUUUGCACUCCGACGUGUGAACAUCGAAGCUCUCUCUUUCUAAAAGUGAAACUUUAUCAAUUAAUAUUUUCGAUAGUUUUAUAAUUAUUUAAGCAAUAUAUAAUAUACACGGAGUGCAUUAAACUAAAUAAUAUUUAAACAAUUAAAUAUUACACGAUCUUAGAUAGGGCUUAUAGAUAUAGGCCCUUGAAAAAAGGUUCUUAAGAAGGGCUUUAGAAUGGAUCUUUCAAUAAGAAAACAUCGUACUGGUUUUUAGAUCGAGUAACUGAUGAACAUUCGUAAAAACACUUCGAAUCGCAAGUGCCUGAAUAGCUCAGUCGGUAGAGCAUCAGACUUUUAAUCUGAGGGUCCAGGGUUCGAGUCCCUGUUCGGGCGAAUUUUUUUUUUUCUUUAGAAUGAUAGAAUCAUAGAUUUAUAGAAUACUAGCAAUUUUCAAUAUAAUCAGUAAAAGUAUAUAUAUAUAUGUCAAGUAAAAAAAAAAAAAAAUAUUAAAAAUAAUAGAAAAAAAUUCUAACCAAAAUAUGAAGUAUCACGUUAUAUUUAUCUUUUAUUCAUUUACAUGUCACGAUGGCUCAUUAUUAAUGUUUUAAUACAAAAUUACAUACACAAAUAUUUCCCAUGGCUCUAUUAACAAAUAUAUUGAAAGUACGUUUUUAAGUACAAUGUAGAAAAUAAAUUUUCAUUAAAAUAUCCAUAAUAUAUAUAUAUAUAUAUAUAAAAAAAAAAAACAUCAUAAAUUCGAUAAAAACAAUUGUAAUAUAAAUCAGUCGAUAUAAAAUGCCUAACAAUAUUUUACAAUGACUACAUAAUAUGAGAAAAAAUUAUAUAUUUAAAGGCAAGAUCUGAAUUUCGAUAAAUUCUGAUAAAACCAUAUUAUGUAAUAUGGAGAAUAACAUUUGUCUAGAUGCACAAUAAUUUUUUUAUGGUUGUUCCUUGAUACUCCCAUCUGUCAUACCAAAAUAUGCUUUAUUUGCCAUUUUAAUAAAAAGACCUGUCUCCACUACUCCAGGCAUCAAUAAAAUUUCUUCAUUAAUUUUAUUCCAAUCACUCAAAUCUUGUGGAAAAUGCCAAUCCAAAAUAAAAUUACCAUUGUCGGUUAUAACAGGUCCCUGCAAUUCAAAAAAAAAAAAAAAGGAAAA